ACAAUGUUUUGUAUUCAUUAAUAUCUUAUAUUAUUUAUUUAUUUUAUUAUACAUAAGUAUAUAACGAUGGGAAAUAUACAAUAUAUUCAAUGUCGCACCACUGAUUAUUUCGUUCAUGUAGCAAAUAGAGAGCGUCACGUGUCUGACAUAAGGAAUAGCAAGUAUGCAUAUGUUUGUCAAAAUCUAUUUAUAUACCUUGAAAACUUCGUUAUCGUGAGUGCACGUAAUGCAUUUCGUUAAAAUCGAAUUGGGUACGAAACUCACUUCCUUGGUUAAUCUAUAAAUGUGUGUGCUUACAUAAUCUUUUUCCAUACAAUAAUGGCAUUACCAGAAGGACUUGCAAGUAGCAUGAAGAAAUUUCAAGCACAUAAUGAUCUACCGGUCUUUUUAAAAGGAGGUCCAGUAGAUAAGGUAUUAUUUGGUUUGACUGUAGGGCUCUGCGGCUUAGGAAUUAUUGGUAUGUUACAAAUGGUUUAUACACUGGGCUUUAAAAAGAAAUCGGCUUAAAUUAAUUACGACGCUUUCAAAUAAAUGGAAGAUGUGGAAAAAUAUUAACAAAAUAAAUAUGAAGAACUAAUAUUAAAUCAUUAAA
This is a non-coding RNA of Bactrocera oleae (olive fruit fly), 592 nucleotides long. NCBI's taxonomy places the organism in Eukaryota, Metazoa, Arthropoda, Insecta, Diptera, Tephritidae. The record is from RefSeq and is a predicted model, not a curated record.